CGAACGAGAUGGAUCGCCCUUCGGCCGAGGCCGCAUUGAGCAUCACGCCGUCCCACGAGGUCCGCCUCGCCUGGAGCGACGACGGGCGCCAGCUGCGGGUGAUCCCGGUUGGCCCGUGGUCGACCGACCGACGCUAUGGCGUAGUGGUGGGCACCACGGCCCGCAUUGCCAACGGCGCGCUGCUUGGCUCGCCGGCGCAGUUCGGCUUCACCACCCAGACCGCGCCCCACAUUACCGACUUCGGCGUCCGAUACGUCGCGGAAUCGGUGGCGCCCUCCGCGGCGAUGGACGCCCUGGGGAUCGAUGGCAGCGAGCACCAGCCCGACGUCGCCUCCGACGUGAGUGCCGCGACCUUCAUCCGGAUCGGCUUCAAUGCGCCGAUGAACCGGGGCGAGGUAGA
Molecule: unclassified non-coding RNA, 400 nt
Filed under: uncultured bacterium
Lineage: Bacteria
Description: contains 16S-23S intergenic spacer region
Source: RNAcentral